GAUGAACGCUGGCGGCGUGCUUAACACAUGCAAGUCGAACGAAGCACUUUAUUUGAUUUCCUUCGGGACUGAUUAUUUUGUGACUGAGUGGCGGACGGGUGAGUAACGCGUGGGUAACCUGCCUUGUACAGGGGGAUAACAGUUGGAAACGGCUGCUAAUACCGCAUAAGCGCACAGCAUCGCAUGAUGCAGUGUGAAAAACUCCGGUGGUAUAAGAUGGACCCGCGUUGGAUUAGCUAGUUGGUGAGGUAACGGCCCACCAAGGCGACGAUCCAUAGCCGACCUGAGAGGGUGACCGGCCACAUUGGGACUGAGACACGGCCCAAACUCCUACGGGAGGCAGCAGUGGGGAAUAUUGCACAAUGGGCGAAAGCCUGAUGCAGCGACGCCGCGUGAGAGAAGAAGUAUUUCGGUAUGUAAAGCUCUAACAGCAGGGAAGAUAAUGACGGUACCUGACUAAGAAGCACCGGCUAAAUACGUG
Molecule: ribosomal RNA, 481 nt
Filed under: uncultured bacterium
Lineage: Bacteria
Description: partial 16S ribosomal RNA
Rfam family: Bacterial small subunit ribosomal RNA
Source: RNAcentral